CAGUAAGUGAGGACACUUUCUGUUGUGGACUGGUAAAAGGAGGUCAUCAGUUGUUGUUCCACCUUGUUUUUCCACAAGACCUUGAGGAAGUGGAGUCUCUGUUGGGCCUUCCUGGCCAUCUGGAUUGUGUUAUUUGUGUGUGUGUGUGUGUG
This is a non-coding RNA of Notechis scutatus (mainland tiger snake), 152 nucleotides long. The record is from RefSeq and is a predicted model, not a curated record. Lineage: Eukaryota; Metazoa; Chordata; Lepidosauria; Squamata; Elapidae.